UGGAGUGCAUGACUCAUCUCCUGGCCCCUCCAGGAAACCGGAGAAGGCAGAAAAGGGCAAGAAUGUUGUGUUGUCUUUGGGCUGUGGAGUUCAUGAUUAUGGACACUUUCUGAAUUAUUGGCACUAAGGGCACAUCCUGCUUAGCAUGGAGGCUGGACAGCUCUGGGAAAGCAGAGAUUCUUUUUAGGGAGUCCAGAGCAUUUUUUUCUUCUUUCUUAUCCCCUCUUUCCAAUAGAGAUGUCAGAAGGGUGACUGUUAGGGUUGAUACAUUAUGUGGUGCUCUGUUUUUUUGAGCAUUGUCUACUCAGAGUGAUUACCAAGGUGGAGCUCAUUAUGUUACCUGGCACCUGCAACUACUUGCCUCAUGUUGGACUAAAGUGGAAAGACUCCUAUUGGGAAUUCACUCAGGGAGGCACCAGGCAUUGUUAGAAAAGCAGUAUCGCAGAGCACUUAAGAGCUGAGCCUUGUGAUCGGGUGGACUUGGGUUUAUGUCCUCGCACUGUCGCUUCCUAGAUUUAUGACCUCAGUUUCCUCAUUUCUAAGGUAGAGACAGGGAUGGAGGGUGGGGAGAAUAUGAAUUAAUUUGGAUUAAAUGGAUGAGAAUCAGAAGUAUUUAUUUGGAAUUGGUGUGAAUUGGAGCACAUGGGGAACUGAAGAUGAACUAAGAAUAAUGAAAACAGCAUGAAGGAUGGAAUCAAAUUAAGUGCAAACAUAUAAAGGAAAUGGACUGGUAAAAGCUCGAGGGCAAAGGUGUAUGGAGAUGGGAAUUCAGGUUGGAAAGAGGCUGCUGAUACAAGGACUGGAGUUGGGAGAGCUGCUGACCAAAUGUGGAAAUGAAGAUUUUUUAAAAAUGGGCGCUGGUUGGAUUCAGGCAAGCUAUUUUAACCCAGGACUCACUUUAAUUCAGUCAAAAUAUUUCUUAUCUUCCAGUUGGGGAGGUGUUUUGGGACAGGAAAAAAAG
Molecule: long non-coding RNA, 961 nt
Filed under: Homo sapiens (human)
Lineage: Eukaryota; Metazoa; Chordata; Mammalia; Primates; Hominidae
Description: HSALNT0046314
Source: RNAcentral